GGAGCGAAAGCGUGGGGGAGCGAACAGGAUUAGAUACCCUGGUAGUUCCACGCCGUAAAACGAUGAAGUGCUAAGUGUUAGGGGUUUCCGCCCCUUAGUGCUGCAGGUAACGCAUUAAGCACUCCGCCUGGGGAGUACGGUCGCAAGACUGAAACUCAAAGGAAUUGACGGGGGCCCGCACAAGCGGUGGAGCAUGUGGUUUUAAUUCGAAGCAACGCGAAGAACCUUACCAGGUCUUGACAUCCUCUGACAAUCCUAGAGAUAGGACGUCCCCUUCGGGGGCAGAGUGACAGGUGGUGCAUGGUUGUCGUCAGCUCGUGUCGUGAGAUGUUGGGUUAAGUCCCGCAACGAGCGCAACCCUUGAUUUUAGUUGCCAGCAUUCAGUUGGGCACUUUAAGGUGACUGCCGGUGACAAACCGGAGGAAGGUGGGGAUGACGUCAAAUCAUCAUGCCCCUUAUGACCUGGGCUACACACGUGCUACAAUGGACAGAACAAAGGGCAGCGAAACCGCGAGGGUAAACCCAUUCCCCCAAAUUUGUUUUCAGUUCGGAUCGCAGUUUGCAACUCGACUGCGUGAAGCUGGAAUCGCUAGUAAUCGCGGAUCAGCAUGCCGCGGUGAAUACGUUCCCGGGCCUUGUACACACCGCCCGUCACACCACGAGAGUUUGUAACACCCGAAGUCGGUGAGGUAACCUUUAGGAGCCAGCCGCCGAAGGUGAAACCUAUU
Molecule: ribosomal RNA, 728 nt
Filed under: Bacillus subtilis
Lineage: Bacteria; Bacillati; Bacillota; Bacilli; Caryophanales; Bacillaceae
Description: bacterial SSU rRNA
Rfam family: Bacterial small subunit ribosomal RNA
Source: RNAcentral